AGCAGUAGCCAUACCACCUUCACAAUGUCUGAUCUUGUCUGAUCGUGAAAGCUAAGCAGAGGUGAGCCUGGUUAGUACUUGGAUGGGACAUUGCUGAGAAUUCCGGGUCCCACAGUGC
Molecule: ribosomal RNA, 118 nt
Filed under: Periophthalmus magnuspinnatus
Lineage: Eukaryota; Metazoa; Chordata; Actinopteri; Gobiiformes; Gobiidae
Source: RNAcentral